This is a long non-coding RNA of Suricata suricatta (meerkat), 345 nucleotides long. RefSeq lists it as uncharacterized. The record is from RefSeq and is a predicted model, not a curated record. Lineage: Eukaryota; Metazoa; Chordata; Mammalia; Carnivora; Herpestidae. The transcript has 3 exons.
AGCAGAUGUCGGCAUCAUCCUUCCACAUGCUUUCGCUUCUGUGUGGACUUGAAUAUAUCAUCGCAUCUCUCCACUCUUCAAUCUUCCUUUUAUGAUAGAUGGAACAAGAAUAUCUACGUCUCAAAUCUCACAUGACUAGAUCAUAAUACAGAUAUGAUGAAUGUAAUUUACACCUGGAAACCGCAAUGUGCCUAAGCUUUAAGUUUAUGUGAAAUCAAGCAGUCACAAAAGGUCCAUGCACCCUCUGGUUCAAUAUUAUCAAACUAUUCAGAUCAGCUAUAUGAUCAUCUACCUGGAUUCAGAGAAGGUAUUUGACAAAAUAAACUUUUAUUUUUGUUAAAAACA